GGGGAUUUAGCUCAGAGGUAGAGCGCUUGCCUAGCAAGCGCAAGGCCCCCCCGGGUUCAGUCCCCA
Molecule: transfer RNA, 66 nt
Filed under: Rattus norvegicus (Norway rat)
Lineage: Eukaryota; Metazoa; Chordata; Mammalia; Rodentia; Muridae
Rfam family: tRNA
About the family: Transfer RNA (tRNA) molecules are approximately 80 nucleotides in length. Their secondary structure includes four short double-helical elements and three loops (D, anti-codon, and T loops).
Source: Rfam by way of RNAcentral